Molecule: long non-coding RNA, 713 nt
Organism: Herpailurus yagouaroundi (jaguarundi)
Lineage: Eukaryota; Metazoa; Chordata; Mammalia; Carnivora; Felidae
Exons: 3
Source: RefSeq, a predicted model, not a curated record
CGGGCUUUGCUCUCAACUGCGCCACCGCGCAGACACCCCUUCCACGGGGUCUGUCUCUCCUGAGGCAGCCCAAGGCGAACUUUGCAAGUCGGUGCACGGAACUUUCCAAGUCGGUGGACGGUGGGAAUGGUUUGGAGCCAGCUCUCUGGAGAUGCUUUUGCCCCAUUCCACGUCCUCGCCCGUCCGACACCGGUACGUCCUCGUUUACUGCCCUCCUUUGGAGAGGCUGUACGUGGUGGCGGCUAGAGUUUGGACUCUGGAACCUGCCUUAGCAUCUCGGCUCCGCAGUUUACCAGCCGUGUGACCUGGGGGAAGUCCAACCUCUCCGUGCCUCAGUUGCUCGAUCUGUAGUUACUUCCUCCAGGAGUCGUUGUAAAGAUUAAAUGAACAAUGACACCGGUGCGUUAAACGGUAACAUGACAAACAGGAAUAUGUAUUGCCUGUCCUGUCUUUUCGCGAUAGGGUGCUAACACAAUGAGGUGUGUUCUUUUUACUCUGCUACGGCCCGUUCAUUCGCUAGGAUUGACAACCUGGUGUGCGUUAAUCUUAACCAUAAAUCAGUUUCUGACGGUGUCUUGGAUGUGCACUGUGCCUUGUAGACUCAAGCUAACGUUACUGCUUCUGUUGCACCCUCGUUGAAACGUCUGUGAAGAAGCACUAGCAGGUUAAGGAUCCCCAGCUUUGGAAAAGGAAUGUGAUGUGAAACUAGAAUU